Molecule: ribosomal RNA, 786 nt
Filed under: uncultured Staphylococcus sp.
Lineage: Bacteria; Bacillati; Bacillota; Bacilli; Caryophanales; Staphylococcaceae
Description: bacterial SSU rRNA
Rfam family: Bacterial small subunit ribosomal RNA
Source: RNAcentral
UAAGACUGGGAUAACUUCGGGAAACCGGAGCUAAUACCGGAUAACAUUUGGAACCGCAUGGUUCUAAAGUGAAAGAUGGUUUUGCUAUCACUUAUAGAUGGACCCGCGCCGUAUUAGCUAGUUGGUAAGGUAACGGCUUACCAAGGCGACGAUACGUAGCCGACCUGAGAGGGUGAUCGGCCACACUGGAACUGAGACACGGUCCAGACUCCUACGGGAGGCAGCAGUAGGGAAUCUUCCGCAAUGGGCGAAAGCCUGACGGAGCAACGCCGCGUGAGUGAUGAAGGGUUUCGGCUCGUAAAACUCUGUUAUUAGGGAAGAACAAAUGUGUAAGUAACUAUGCACAUCUUGACGGUACCUAAUCAGAAAGCCACGGCUAACUACGUGCCAGCAGCCGCGGUAAUACGUAGGUGGCAAGCGUUAUCCGGAAUUAUUGGGCGUAAAGCGCGCGUAGGCGGUUUCUUAAGUCUGAUGUGAAAGCCCACGGCUCAACCGUGGAGGGUCAUUGGAAACUGGGAAACUUGAGUGCAGAAGAGGAAAGUGGAAUUCCAUGUGUAGCGGUGAAAUGCGCAGAGAUAUGGAGGAACACCAGUGGCGAAGGCGACUUUCUGGUCUGUAACUGACGCUGAUGUGCGAAAGCGUGGGGAUCAAACAGGAUUAGAUACCCUGGUAGUCCACGCCGUAAACGAUGAGUGCUAAGUGUUAGGGGGUUUCCGCCCCUUAGUGCUGCAGCUAACGCAUUAAGCACUCCGCCUGGGGAGUACGACCGCAAGGUUGAAACUCAAG